Molecule: ribosomal RNA, 427 nt
Filed under: uncultured bacterium
Lineage: Bacteria
Description: bacterial SSU rRNA
Rfam family: Bacterial small subunit ribosomal RNA
Source: RNAcentral
UGGGGAAUUUUGGACAAUGGGCGCAAGCCUGAUCCAGCCAUGCCGCGUGCGGGAAGAAGGCCUUCGGGUUGUAAACCGCUUUUGUCAGGGAAGAAAUCCUUUGAGCUAAUACCUCGGGGGGAUGACGGUACCUGAAGAAUAAGCACCGGCUAACUACGUGCCAGCAGCCGCGGUAAUACAGAGGGUGCAAGCGUUAAUCGGAAUUACUGGGCGUAAAGCGCGCGUAGGUGGUUUGUUAAGUUGGAUGUGAAAUCCCCGGGCUCAGCCUGGGAACUGCAUUUGUGACUGCAUAGCUGGAGUGCGGCGGAGGGGGAUGGAAUUCCGCGUGUAGCAGUGAAAUGCGUAGAUAUGCGGAGGAACACCGAUGGAGAAGGCAAUCCCCUGGGCCUGCACUGACGCUCAUGCACGAAAGCGUGGGGAGCAAACA